GACGAUAAAGAAUUUUGCUGUGAUCUAUCUCGUGGAUAUUACUGAGGUGCCUGACUUCAACACUAUGUAUGAACUGUACGAUCCUUCUACUGUUAUGUUCUUUUUCAGAAACAAACAUAUCAUGAUUGAUCUUGGCACUGGGAACAACAAUAAGAUUAAUUGGGCAAUGAAGGACAAGCAGGAGUUCAUUGACAUUAUCGAAACAGUGUAUCGUGGAGCAAGGAAGGG
RNAcentral lists this long non-coding RNA (228 nucleotides) under Daucus carota (carrot). RNAcentral describes it as "long non-coding RNA (DCAR_LNC000541)". Lineage: Eukaryota; Viridiplantae; Streptophyta; Magnoliopsida; Apiales; Apiaceae. The record is from RNAcentral.